Molecule: ribosomal RNA, 687 nt
Filed under: uncultured bacterium
Lineage: Bacteria
Description: bacterial SSU rRNA
Rfam family: Bacterial small subunit ribosomal RNA
Source: RNAcentral
AGGGUUUGAUCAUGGCUCAGAUUGAACGCUGGUGGUAUGCUUAACACAUGCAAGUCGGACGGUAACAUGGUGUGCUUGCAUACUGAUGACGAGUGGCGGACGGGCGAGUAACGCGUAGGAAUCUGGCUAUAAGAGGGGGACAACCAUUGGAAACGAUGGCUAAUACCGCAUGAUACCUUUGGGUCAAAAGUGGCUACUUGUAGCGACUGCUUAUAGAUGAGCCUGCGUUAGAUUAGCUUGUUGGUGAGGUAAGGGCUCACCAAGGCCACGAUCUAUAGCUGUUCUGAGAGGAAGAUCAGCCGCACUGGGACUGAGACACGGCCCAGACUCCUACGGGAGGCAGCAGUGGGGAAUAUUGGACAAUGGGCGGAAGCCUGAUCCAGCAAUACCACGUGUGUGAAGAAGGCCUUAGGGUUGUAAAGCACUUUCAGUGGGGAGGAAGUGCGCUAGGUUAAGAGCUAGGUGUAUUGACGUUACCCACAGAAGAAGCACCGGCUAACUCCGUGCCAGCAGCCGCGGUAAUACGGAGGGUGCGAGCGUUAAUCGGAAUUACUGGGCGUAAAGGGUUCGUAGGCGGUUAGAUAAGUCAGAUGUGAAAUCCCUGGGCUCAACCUAGGAACUGCAUAUGAAACUAUUUGACUAGAGUAUAGUAGAGGAGAGGGGAAUUUCCGGUGUAGCGGUGAAAUG